AUUGCAAUAUUUCUUAUUCAAGAUUAAGUGACACUAUAUUUAUUAUUAUUUGUUUAUCCAUUAUCUUUGAGAUAUAUGCCUUACAAAAUGUUUAAAUAGGACUAAAAUCCUAGAAUCAUUGAGGAUGGGGCUUUGCCUAUAAAAGACCAUCCAAUAGUGAAAACCUAACCUCUGUGAUAAGAGAUCUCUUGAAGAAGGUUUAAUAUGAUAAUAACAAGAUAAUUGGUUAGUCAA
Molecule: long non-coding RNA, 234 nt
Filed under: Elaeis guineensis (African oil palm)
Lineage: Eukaryota; Viridiplantae; Streptophyta; Magnoliopsida; Arecales; Arecaceae
Description: long non-coding RNA (EGUI_LNC035040)
Source: RNAcentral